UUAAUUAAGGCCUUAAAUUUGAAUUAAUAGCGUAUAUAAUGAUCAACGUGAUGGUUAGUCGCUAAUAGAGUGCGGUUAAGCGGGCUGAAAUUGUGCAUUAUACACCCGCAGUUAGGAAGCAGUGAUCCAGAUAUUGCCUUACGAUAUAAGGAUAAAAUAAGGGUGGCAGCCUUAACCCUUCUGCCCUAACUGAUGGAGAAACAACAACAAACUUGAAAGAUUAAAUUAUCUUGCGCUGACCCACAGUUUCUAUACAAAUGACCCUUGAAAGUCUACAAAAAUUUGUCUAGCUAUAAAUAUUUUAAAGCUGGAUGGGUUUCAAAUUGUUCUGUAAAAAAAGUUGGAGGUUUCACCAUUGUUACUGGAAAGAUUAAGCACUCGCAGAAAAUGAACGAGCGUGCUCUUGAUGUAUGGGUCAUAACUCAAGCAGUUGGAGGAAUUCACUCAGGACAUUGCACCUGUAUGGCGGGUCAUUCUGAAGUCUACGGCCAUGUUGCCGCCAUCUUAUAUAAGUUAGAGAGUCUAACACAAAUGGUGGAAAACAUGGCAUGCACAGAUAAAUUAUCUACCUUGAAUGUUCCUGGCCCAUCAAAAGUACCUAUAGUUAAAAUAAGAAAUGUUUGCUGCACACUCGACCAUAGGCUAACAAACUUUCUGAUAAGUAAUUUCUUUUAAUUGCAUUUAUCCAUUGUUGGCGUCUCUUUUUGGAGAGUUCAUUAAGGUCUAGUCUAUGCUUAAAACUUAGUUCUUUGGAAAUCUUAUAAAACUUACUUAGGUCUUUAUCACCUCUGCUACCACAAUUCACAACAAGUCGUUGGCAUUUUCUUCGCCAAAAUAAAAGAAUCGCAUGAAAUACUGUCUAAAUCAAAACCAACAUAAACUCCUUACGCUAUCAACUGUUGAAAAUGACCAGAUAUUUCUAAUAAAAGAGCAAAUGAGCACACAAAGUAGAAAUUUUCCUUUUAAACUGCAAUGUAAACAAAGCGGAACAAAGACAAUGUGUGCCUACAGGCGGCCAUAUUGAAUUUAUUUUGACAGAAUGCUGGUUUGCCCAAUUUUGUAUUUUUGUAAACAUAACCUCUCAAAAAUUAAUGUUUCUGAGAGGAUAUGUAGUGUUUUGUUUCCCUACUAUUGGCACAACUAAAUUUUGUCAGAGUGACCAACAUCGAAAGGACACAAUCACGCAACAUAGGUAUAUUUAUUAAGUUCGUGCCUCAUAUUCAUAAACUUGCAAUGACAAUUGGCUGUUUGACCAUACAGAACAGCUGAUUCAUCUCACAGGAUGCCCUCGUUGCCACGUGCGAACUACCCAAGUAAAACUGGAAAAGUGGAAAACAUUUAUUAUUUGAUGCCGUCAUAACCAUCAUACUACCUUCAUAUUAUUGAAAAAUCUAUGUAUUUGAAGUGAAUCUGUCAAUUUGUUUACCCUGGACUCUCUUCAAAGCGAAUAAAUCUUUCACAUUUACUAAAGGCGUUAGUUUUCAAUCCCAGGUUAGUAACAAAUAAGAACAAAAACUUGAUUCAAAUCAAUUUAUUUUAUUUCCAAGUACACAUGGUUUGAAU
This 1563-nucleotide long non-coding RNA is filed under the name Anthonomus grandis grandis. RNAcentral's name for it is "uncharacterized LOC126736826". Lineage: Eukaryota; Metazoa; Arthropoda; Insecta; Coleoptera; Curculionidae. The record is from RNAcentral.